This 254-nucleotide ribosomal RNA is filed under the name uncultured bacterium. RNAcentral describes it as "partial 16S ribosomal RNA". It matches the Rfam family "Bacterial small subunit ribosomal RNA", at positions 524 to 776 of the family's 1533-position model. The record is from RNAcentral.
UACGUAGGGUGCAAGCGUUGUUCGGAAUUACUGGGCGUAAAGGGCUCGUAGGCGGCCAACUAAGUCGGAUGUGAAAUCCCCAGGCUUAACCUGGGAACUGCAUCCGAUACUGGAUGGCUUGAAUCCGGGAGAGGGAUGCAGAAUUCCAGGUGUAGCGGUGAAAUGCGUAGAUAUCUGGAGGAAUACCGGUGGCGAAGGCGGCAUCCUGGACCGGCAUUGACGCUGAGUGAGCGAAAGCUAGGGGAGCAAACGGG